RNAcentral lists this long non-coding RNA (1305 nucleotides) under Struthio camelus australis. Its description in RNAcentral is "lncRNA (ENSSCUG00000018714.1)". Lineage: Eukaryota; Metazoa; Chordata; Aves; Struthioniformes; Struthionidae. The record is from RNAcentral.
AGCUCUUCCCCGGAUUUAAGGUUCUCCUGCCGGCCGCCGGCCGCCGCCGCGUUCUGCUCGACCUACCCCGGCGUCGUAGCACGAGGGGUCGGCGCCCUCGGCGCAGCAGGUUUCGGCCAGCGAGACUAUUUCGCGCACCAGGUGGCUGAUCUCCUCGAAGGUGGCGUUGGAGAACUUCCUGCUGUUCAUGACAAUCGUGCUGGGAGCAAACACAAGGGGGGAGAAAGCCGCGUUUUUACGUGUGGCCUGGCCCCAGGGUGUCCACGUUGCCUUCCUUCCUUCCUUCCGCCGCCGCCCCGACGCCGGAGGGCAGUCCCCUCUGCAGCUGCAUGGAUAUACUGGAUGGCUGUGGGCAGCUAAAACUAACCAUCGCACACGCUUUCUGAUCAACGGGGACAGCAAUAAAAGCAGAAAGGGCAAUUACGUUAAUGGAAAAUACCCAGAAGAUGAAGAUGGGGAAGAAGGAAGCCUGACCGUCUCUUCCCCUCCUGCCGCUAAAGAAACCCCUGGGGCCGAUAACUCAGGAUUUACCCCCCAUGGCCCCUGAUUGGAAAGAGCAGCUCAUCGUUUGCUCUUGCUGCCCAGGCACGUACACGCACAGCCAGUGACGAGGGAGCACCCUCCCCCCCAAAUGUGCCUCCUGACCUGCUGCGUGGAGCAAGGGACACAAGAGGAGGAUGAAGGUCUUCUGCAAACGGACUCAAAAAGCUCUUAGGCUGUUUUGAGACGUGAAGGGACCCACUGGUGGGCCGACCACCUAGGACAAACCUAGGCAGGGGAUAAAUGGCCCAAGCAGGCAACUCCUCCCCGCUUGUCUCACGAGUGGAGAUGCGGCGCGUGGGGAAAGAGCCAUCCCACCCAGCAAUUUAGCCCCGAGCGGCUGGACCAACAGCUGGGCUGAUUCCCCUCUUGAAAUGUGAAGGGGGGUGUGUCAAGAUGAUGAGGCCAAUCUUCUCCGCGGUGCCCAGCAACAGGACAAGAGGCAACAGGCACAAACUGAACCACAGGAAGUUCCAUCUGAACCUGAGGAACAACUUCUUUCCUGGGAGGGUGACAGAGCACUGGAACAGGUUGCCCAGCGAGGUAGUGGAGUCUCCUUCGCUGGAGAUAUUCAAAACCCGUCUGGAUGCCAUCCUGGGCAACAUGCUCUGGAGGACCCUGCUUGAGCAGGGAGGUUGGACUAGAUGAUCUCCAGAGGUCCCUCCCAACCUCAACCAUUCUGUCAUCUAGUUUUCCAGUUUAAAAGCCUGAAUCCAAAUCUAGGCUUCUAUUUCACAGGGGGCAUCCAUUUCUAUAAUAGUCCAA